Molecule: non-coding RNA, 1748 nt
Organism: Cyanistes caeruleus (blue tit)
Lineage: Eukaryota; Metazoa; Chordata; Aves; Passeriformes; Paridae
Source: RefSeq, a predicted model, not a curated record
AAAUCGUGCUUAAAGCGCUGGGUCGGCGUCGGGCGGUGGGGUGGAUUUCAGGCAGCCAGACGCCUUUGUGAGGAGUGGGGGACCUUAAUCGUGCCACUCCAAAGAUGGCAGCUUACCCGGAAAUGGCUUCCGCCACAAUCAAAGAUGGUGACGAAGGACGGAAGUCAUGUUUUUUUAUGCCACAUCAAAGAUGGCGGUUUGACACGCCGCUUAACGGCCUUCCAAAGAUGGCGGCAUCUUGCGCAUGCGCCUUAGGGAUGGGACAAAUGGCGGCCCGGAAGGAACAUGCUCCGUUCUUUCGGCUGCCUGAACGCGACGCCGGCGCCGACCCAGGUCUUUUAGCGCGAUUUUUCAUAACGUUUCCCGACGUGGGAAAACGGGUUGUGGGGUCAGGGGAGCCGGGAGCACCCGGCAGGAUGCAGCUCCUGUUUCCCAGGAGCAAUGUGGCACAGAUGCCAAUGAUGUGAAGAAGUUGGAUUUCACACAGUAGAGGCCGUGGUUUAUGCAGCAGAGAAGGAGCUGCUGAAUAUUAAAGGCAUCAACCAAAGCUGACAAAAUCCCAGUAAAGAUGUUCUGGCGCUUUAACCCAAGAUAUUCCACAGGUUUAUUUGUCCUGGCUGAAAGCACUGUGAAUUUGGAAGGUCUCCAAAGGGCAGUAAAGGUGAUUGGAGGUGUGACAUAACUUGUGAUGGGACAAGUCAAAAUGCACCAGGACAGGACUGAAGUGGAGGAUAUUUCUGUAAAACACACAAAAUGGAUGUUGGAGCUUUUUCUUGGAGCAGAAUUUCAGUUCUGUUCAGAGGACCAACUCGUGCACAGUCUGUGAAAUGUGCACAGAAUGAUACAGGCACCUCUCCACAAGGCAGGAAAUAUUAAUUACGGGGGGUUAACGAAUGGCAUGAGCUCUCCUGGCACUGCUCAGACGGGUUUUCCCUCAGGCUGAUGCAGCCAAACUGAUUCCCAGGGUUUCACCACAGCCACAGAACUCCGCCAACGACGGUCAGAGAGUAUCCCAAGCACCACUGAUUCCAAAGAGCUGGACAACCUGCAUCAAGGAGAAAUAGAAACAGGAUCCAUAAUGGACUUAUUUGGGGAAUUCCACUUGGGUCCAUGUGCUUCCUGGGCAGCAUUCCCAUGGGACCAUACCCUGUGUGUUUUCCUGGAUCCCGCUGGUGCAGCAGAAUCUCAGUGGCCACAGCUGGGAAUUCGGUGAAUUGGAAGCAGAGCUGAAGGGUUUGUCCACUAAGAGAAGUGGUGAUUAUAAACCAAAGCAAUGUGGUAUUCCACACCAGGGAUUUGGGAUUGGUGAUGGUCCCCAUCCAUAAUCUUUGUUCAUUUUCUUUUGGAUGCUGCAGCCUGGUGGGCUGGGGGAGCUGCUCCUUUCCAUUUCCAUUUAAUUUUCUGUAUUUCAUUAAUUCUCUGUGGAAAUCUGCUUUUAAUGAAAGGGCCCAGGAGGAUAUUGAUGUCGUCCCAGGUUCCUGGGAUCCACAGCUCUGUGUUCAGACCAAGGAUUGUUCUGGCUGGCAGAAGCUGCACCAAUCUCCCAGGAAUCUCAGUCUGGAUUUUCUUCUCCCAGUUCUCAGCUUGGGGGUGCAGUGCAGCCCUGCCCUGUGUAUCUCCUAGAAGAGUUUUGGUGUUAAAAAGGGUAUUUUGUAUUCUGUAGUACUUGUAACUUGAUAAAAAAGUAUAAAACUGUAUCAAUGUGGUUUUGAUUGGUUCAUUUGCAUUCGUUAAUUAAAGCAAAUAAC